This is a long non-coding RNA of Pocillopora verrucosa, 923 nucleotides long. RefSeq lists it as uncharacterized. Lineage: Eukaryota; Metazoa; Cnidaria; Anthozoa; Scleractinia; Pocilloporidae. The record is from RefSeq and is a predicted model, not a curated record.
UCAACUUACGUGUAUCAGGAUCUUUGCACAUGGAAGUCAGAAUUGCGCUUUCCUGCCUGGUUUAAAGCUCUAAAUUACAGAUUUCAGUCGGAAAACUCUUCGUCUUAAAUAUCGAAGACAGUUGGAACAUCUGACGGUAGAAGUUAAAAUGGAUUUUGUGUCUUAAAUGUCGAUCUUUGGUGUAUAACGGUCCUCGCCCACAGUUUGCAACCAGCGACGACAAGUCAACGGUUCAAACCAAGCUAGGACAGAAGUUUAGUCUUCUUUGAACGCAUGUAAUUAAUCAUCUAACAAGAAGGAUAACAAUGGAUCAGAAACAAAAUGAAGUCCAUGGAAACAGAUACAGUCAGUAUAGAUUUGAAAGAUUUCAAGAUCAUAGGAAGCAAGAAGAUUCAAGAAAAUUCAAGAAAAGAUAAUACUUGUGGACGCAAGAAUUCUGUUUACUGAAAUAAAGCUUAUUUUAAGUCACGCUCCUCCUGAUUAGGGAAGAAAUAGCGGAGAGACGAACGGUGUUUGCGAGGAAAUCCUGCGCUUUUAAAAGGCCAACCGCAAUUAAAACAAAAGUUCAUAAAAAUGAUGUCUUUUGGUAGGAAAAUCUUCCCAUCAGCAGAAUUAUAGAGAAGCUAAAAAAAUUUUUGCGUAAAUAUUUUUAAGUCUUUUGGCGGGAAAAUUGCGUAUGGAAAAAAAAGGCUGUGCUUUUGAAUUGUGUCUAGUUUUGAACAGAAAAUAUACUAAGUCUUUUGGCGGGAAAAAAUUUGCUCCAUGCCAACGAUUUUCUCCCAUCAAAAGUCGAGUACAUUUUUUGUUUUAAUGCUAGAUGCUGUUCAAAUCCGCAGAUUUUUUUUCCUCUCGGCAACCCUCCAUACGCAAAAAAAAGUAAAAGAGAUAGCCUAUAUUUUGACUAGUUACCAGGCCCUUUUAAA